AAGUUGUUGCAAUUAAAAAGCUCGUAGUUGGACCUUGAGUUGGGUCAACCAGUCCGCCUCAUGGUGUGCAUCGAUUGGCUCAUCCCUUCUACGGGCGAUACGCUCUUGGCCUUAACUGACCAAGUCGUGCCUCCGAUGCUAUUACUUUGAAAAAAUUAGAGUGUUCAAAGUAAGCCUACGCUCUGUAUACAUUAGCACGGGAUAACAUCAUAGGAUUCCGGUCCUAUUAUGUUGAAUUUCGGGAUCGAAGUAAUGAUUAAUAGGGACAGUUGGAGGAAUGCGUAUUUUAUAGUUAGAGGUGAAAUUCUUAGAUUUAUGAAAGACCAACAACUGCGAAAGCAACCCACCACGGUGGUGGCGUAGUGGUUUGAGCAAGGGACCUCUC
Non-coding RNA from Eucalyptus grandis, 385 nucleotides. The record is from Rfam. Lineage: Eukaryota; Viridiplantae; Streptophyta; Magnoliopsida; Myrtales; Myrtaceae.